Molecule: transfer RNA, 73 nt
Filed under: Candidatus Zixiibacteriota bacterium
Lineage: Bacteria; Pseudomonadati; Candidatus Zixiibacteriota
Also listed under: 1 other name
Description: candidate division Zixibacteria bacterium tRNA-Lys
Rfam family: tRNA
About the family: Transfer RNA (tRNA) molecules are approximately 80 nucleotides in length. Their secondary structure includes four short double-helical elements and three loops (D, anti-codon, and T loops). Further hydrogen bonds mediate the characteristic L-shaped molecular structure. tRNAs have two regions of fundamental functional importance: the anti-codon, which is responsible for specific mRNA codon recognition, and the 3' end, to which the tRNAs corresponding amino acid is attached (by aminoacyl-tRNA synthetases). tRNAs cope with the degeneracy of the genetic code in two manners: having more than one tRNA (with a specific anti-codon) for a particular amino acid; and 'wobble' base-pairing, i.e. permitting non-standard base-pairing at the 3rd anti-codon position.
Source: RNAcentral
GGGGGUGUAGCUCAGUCGGUAGAGCAUCUGCCUUUUAAGCAGGUGGCCGGCGGUUCGAGUCCGCCCACCCUCA